This 1508-nucleotide ribosomal RNA is filed under the name Bacillus cereus. Its description in RNAcentral is "bacterial LSU rRNA". It matches the Rfam family "Bacterial large subunit ribosomal RNA", at positions 1451 to 2925 of the family's 2925-position model. The record is from RNAcentral. Lineage: Bacteria; Bacillati; Bacillota; Bacilli; Caryophanales; Bacillaceae.
GUUACUGCGAAGGGGGGACGGAGAAGGCUAUGUUAGCCGGGCGACGGUUGUCCCGGUUUAAGCAUGUAGGCUGGUUAUCCAGGCAAAUCCGGAUAAUCAAGGCUGAGGUGUGAUGACGAGGCACUACGGUGCUGAAGUAACAAAUGCCCUACUUCCAGGAAAAGCCUCUAAGCAUCAGGUAACAUCAAAUCGUACCCCAAACCGACACAGGUGGUCAGGUAGAGAAUACCAAGGCGCUUGAGAGAACUCGGGUGAAGGAACUAGGCAAAAUGGUGCCGUAACUUCGGGAGAAGGCACGCUGGUGUGUAGGUGAAGUCCCUGCGGAUGGAGCUGAGACCAGUCGAAGAUACCAGCUGGCUGCAACUGUUUAUUAAAAACACAGCACUGUGCAAACACGAAAGUGGACGUAUACGGUGUGACGCCUGCCCGGUGCCGGAAGGUUAAUUGAUGGGGUUAUCCGUAAGGAGAAGCUCUUGAUCGAAGCCCCGGUAAACGGCGGCCGUAACUAUAACGGUCCUAAGGUAGCGAAAUUCCUUGUCGGGUAAGUUCCGACCUGCACGAAUGGCGUAAUGAUGGCCAGGCUGUCUCCACCCGAGACUCAGUGAAAUUGAACUCGCUGUGAAGAUGCAGUGUACCCGCGGCAAGACGGAAAGACCCCGUGAACCUUUACUAUAGCUUGACACUGAACAUUGAGCCUUGAUGUGUAGGAUAGGUGGGAGGCUUUGAAGCGUGGACGCCAGUCUGCGUGGAGCCAACCUUGAAAUACCACCCUUUAAUGUUUGAUGUUCUAACGUUGGCCCCUGACCGGGGUUGCGGACAGUGUCUGGUGGGUAGUUUGACUGGGGCGGUCUCCUCCCAAAGCGUAACGGAGGAGCACGAAGGUUAGCUAAUCCUGGUCGGACAUCAGGAGGUUAGUGCAAUGGCAUAAGCUAGCUUGACUGCGAGCGUGACGGCGCGAGCAGGUGCGAAAGCAGGUCAUAGUGAUCCGGUGGUUCYGMAUGGAAGGGCCAUCGCUCAACGGAUAAAAGGUACUCCGGGGAUAACAGGCUGAUACCGCCCAAGAGUUCAUAUCGACGGCGGUGUUUGGCACCUCGAUGUCGGCUCAUCACAUCCUGGGGCUGAAGUAGGUCCCAAGGGUAUGGCUGUUCGCCAUUUAAAGUGGUACGCGAGCUGGGUUUAGAACGUCGUGAGACAGUUCGGUCCCUAUCUGCCGUGGRCGCUKGAGAWUUGAGRGGGGCUGCUCCUAGUACGAGAGGACCGGAGUGGACGMAYCWCUGGUGUUCSGGUUGUCAYGCCARUGGCAYUGCCSGGUAGCUAAAUGCGGAAGAGAUAAGUGCUGAAAGCAUCUAAGCACGAAACUUGCCCCGAGAUGAGUUCUCCCUGAGACUWUAAGUCUCCUGAAGGAACGUUAAAGACGAYGACGUUGAUAGGCCGGGUGUGUAAGCGCAGCGAUGCGUUGAGCUAACCGGUACUAAUGAACCGUGAGGCUUAACCUUACAACGCCGAAG